This 511-nucleotide ribosomal RNA is filed under the name uncultured bacterium. RNAcentral's name for it is "bacterial SSU rRNA". It matches the Rfam family "Bacterial small subunit ribosomal RNA", at positions 8 to 524 of the family's 1533-position model. The record is from RNAcentral.
AGAGUUUGAUCCUGGCUCAGGAUGAACGCUGGCGGCGUGCCUAAUACAUGCAAGUCGAACGCGAAAGGCUUGAAGCCUUCGGGCGGAGGGCCGAGUAGAGUGGCGAACGGGUGAGGAACACGUAGGUGACCUGCCCCGGAGAGGGGGAUAACCGUCGGAAACGGCGGCUAAUACCCCAUAAGCUCACGCGAGUUAGAGGGCGUGUGAGAAAAGCUCCGGCGCUCCGGGAGGGGCCUGCGGCCCAUCAGCUAGUUGGUAGGGUAAAGGCCUACCAAGGCGAAGACGGGUAGGGGGCCUGAGAGGGUGGUCCCCCACAUGGGAACUGAGACACGGUCCCAACUCCUACGGGAGGCAGCAGUAAGGAAUAUUGCACAAUGGGCGCAAGCCUGAUGCAGCAACGCCGCGUGCCCGAGGACGGCCUUCGGGUUGUAAAGGGCUUUUCUGGCUGACGAGGAAGGACGGUAGGCCAGGAAUAAGCGUCGGCUAACUACGUGCCAGCAGCCGCGGUAAU